GAUGAACGCUGGCGGCGUGCCUAAUACAUGCAAGUCGAGCGAACAGACGAGGAGCUUGCUCCUCUGACGUUAGCGGCGGACGGGUGUGUAACACGUGGAUAACCUACCUAUAAGACUGGGAUAACUUCGGGAAACCGGAUCUAAUACCGGAUAAUAUAUUGAACCGCAUGGUUCAAUAGUGAAAGACGGUUUUGCUGUCACUUCUAGAUGGAUCACGGCCGCAUUAGCUAGUUGGUAAGGUAACGGCUUACCACGGCGACGAUGCGUAGCCGACCUGAGAGAGUGAUCGGCCACACGGGAGCUGAGACGCGGUCCAGGCUCCUACGAGAGGCAGCAGUAGGGAAUCUUCCGCAAUGGGCGAGAGCCUGACGGAGCAAGGCCGCGUGAGUGAUGACGAUCUUCGGAUCGUGAAACUCUGUUAUUAGGGAAAAACAAAUGUGUAAGUAACUAUGCACGUCUUGACGGUACCUAAUCAGAAAGCCACGGCUAACUACGUG
RNAcentral lists this ribosomal RNA (497 nucleotides) under uncultured bacterium. Its description in RNAcentral is "partial 16S ribosomal RNA". It matches the Rfam family "Bacterial small subunit ribosomal RNA", at positions 28 to 507 of the family's 1533-position model. The record is from RNAcentral.